AAAAUUUUGACCAUAUUCUUACCACUUUCUAACAAUUUCCUCAUUAACCUAGAUCUGAAAUUUUAUUUUCACAUUCUCAUCAGUUCAGUUUUCUUCUCAAGCGGCGCCACUGAGCUUCCUUUCUCUAUUUCUCUUUUUUCUUUUUUUUUUUCUAAUUUCCUUCUUCUUCUCUGUCACUCCAUCAUUGUAACCUCUCUCUUUUCUUCAUUGCAGGUCAAGUUUGGGAAGCUUGUUACUUCUACUCAGCCUUGCUUCAGUCAACAUUCCUCUGCUCUUGCAAGGAAAGGAUUCGUUGAGACAAUGGAAAAAGACAAGACCAAGAAGAACGAGGAAUUAAGAAAUGGUGGAUCCAUGACGAGUGUCCUAUUUCGUUUUUAGUUAUUUUCAAUAUGUGUAUUCUUAUGUCGCUAAACAUCAAUUUUUUUAUUUAAAA
Molecule: long non-coding RNA, 433 nt
Organism: Brassica oleracea var. oleracea
Lineage: Eukaryota; Viridiplantae; Streptophyta; Magnoliopsida; Brassicales; Brassicaceae
Exons: 2
Source: RefSeq, a predicted model, not a curated record